UCCUCUCUGUGCUGGGCCCUGUGUGCGUCGCAUGCCUGCUCCGCGGCACACAUCAGAACUGCCCCCGGGUCUUCCUGGGUGAGACUUUAUUGCCCUGGCCCUCACACUCUGCCUCCUCCUGUGACUGACAUCGCUGCCACCUCUCCCUGUUGGGGGCCACACCCAGCACCCACCACCUGAGGUCCCGGCCCGUGUGGAUGGGGAGGGCUCCUCGCUGCGAAGCCAGGGUGGCUGUGGAAAGCACCGCGUAGAGAGCUGCAGCAGCAUCUUGCUCUUCGUCCUGAAUGAAGCGGCUUUGUUCUGCUGCGCCCUGCCGCCAUGAUGCUUCGGCCUUGCAGCCGGCGGCCCAUGGACCAAACCUCUUUAAAACCUGAGCUAAAUGAAACUCCGCCUCCUUCAUGCUGCACUUGUCAGGGAUCCAGUUCGGCAGGGGGAAGCCGGGAAUACAGUGGCCUCUUGCAUGGUGGCGCCAGUCUCCAAAUGCAGGUGAGUGGAAGUGGCUAGGCCCCUUGUGGCCGAGAGCUGCUGCCCAGACUGCGCCCUCCCAGCUAAAGUGGGCCAGGCCACUGUGAUUGCCUCUGAGAAGCGGUGGUGUGGAGCUGAUGCUAUCGUCUGCUUUCCCUGGCUCUUCAGGAAGGUGGGUGACUUUUUCCACCAUCAGGACAACGCCUGCAGCUUAGCACCUCAGGGCCACAGGGAUGUGCUCUCACAGUUCCUGGGUCGUGAGUCACAGUGGGUCCCACUGGACUAAGGUCAAGACACUUGCCAGGCCACAGCCAUCUGCAGACCGUCGGGGUACAGGGACCCUUCCUUCCUUUAUUUCCUUUUUCAGAGUUUGAAGACCCCGGCUCCUGGCUGGUGGCCGCUUCCUCUAUCUUCAACGCCAACAUGGGAGUGCUAUUCAUUCCUCUCUCCUUGGACACCCCCCUCCCUGUUAUGGGGAGCACUGGGGUAAUCCCUGACAGCUCAGCGUCCACCUCCCUCUUACAGGGAGCUCUGGGGUGAUCCCUGGUAACUCAGUGUCCACCUCCCUCUUACAGGGCGCAUUUGGGUGAUCCCUGGUAGCUCAGGGUCUUCUCUCCAUGCCAAAGUCGUGGGCAGGUCCCUUUUGCUGUGCAAGGUGAAGCCACCUUGGGAAGCCAGGGUGUGGACAUCUUCAGGAGACCCUAGGAGGUGGGUGGCCCUGGGAGUUUGGGAGUGACUUAUUUUCCAGUUUUUCUCUCUGUCCCUCUCUGUUGUGCCAGAGACGUUCACUGCACAGAUUGCCAGCUCUGUGUGCCCAUUCGAGCUCACAGCAUCAGCUUUGAGAGCCAGCAUGAUGACGACAGGGUGGAGCAUUGGAGGGGAUUAGCAGUGCCCAUCUGCCAAGGUGCAGCGACAUGAGCAGGGGUGUGUGGGCCUGGGGAGAUGGGGCUGGGUGGGGAAGCAGCUGUGCAGGGAGGAUCUGGGACUCACUCUCCUGUCUGGCUCUCUCCCAGCCCCAGCGGUGCCUCCAGGGCCUUGCAGAGCCCAAGGACUUCCUGGUCUCAGUGGCCAGGGCAGUUGUGGCGAACCUAGGGCACGCAUGCAACCUGUUUUUCUUUUAAGACAAAAGCUGUCAAUGUGUGAGUCUUGUUUUUCUAAACUGAAACCUCAUCGUUCAGGUUGAAGGGCAGUGCUGGCCUUUGUGAUAAAGAAGAAGGUUUUGGGAGUCAGAGUAGGCAGUUGCUGCUAACAAGCAAACAACCCACAAUGCCCAGGUACGCUGAACAUCAGCUGAACAGGAGGGACAUACCUAAGCUCAAAGUCCUGAGUGUGCUCACCUGAAACUCGCGUGGCCCCCGAAGCCCAGCACCCCUCCCCACUCUCCUUUCCCACCGCAGCCCCCCACCAACCCAUUCCCUCAGCCCACCCGGCUCCCUCGGGCGCUUCCGCUCCCACCGCCACAGUUUCAGCCGCUUUGAGUUGUAUUUUUCUGUCAUAAGAGCAAUGCAUGUUCACUACAGAAAAAUCGCAGGUUAUGGAUAAGCAGUAAGAAAGAAGCAAGAAAACACUCAUAAUCCUCCCACGCGGUGCCGACUGUGACUCCCGCGGGUGGAUUUUUCCAGAGCUCUCUGUGCACGCGCAUGCGCGCGUGUGUGUGCAUGUGUGCUUGUGCGCAUCUUUUCGGGUCCACAGACCCCAUUCAGACCCUCUCCUGGUGAAGAAGGGCACUGCUCGGGCCACCUGCUGGGCUUCAGCGCCUGCAAAGGGAGGCUCAGGGAGGCUGGGCAAAGACUCCAGCGGACCCAGGGGCACCACAGGAAGCCCCUCAGGCCGGGCCUUGAACAACUCACAUCCUUCAGGGCCUCCCCGGGUCCCUCACGCGUCCUCACACAAUUCACUUGUCUGGAUCCUAAUCGCUUCCUUUGGGGUGCCAGGCCCACCCUGGAUUGGGGCCCACCCUGAUCACCCCGUUUUAACUUAAUCACCUCUUUGCCUCAUUGCUAAAUAUGGUCAUAUGCGGAGGAACUGGAGGUUAGAGCUUUAACAGCUGAAGUGGAGGGACAUAGCUCCCCCCACACAUCUUGGUCCACUUCCCCGAGAUCGUGGUGGGCCUGGGUGCCUUACUCCAGGACACAGGCCGAUGUCACAGUCACCCCAGGGAAGCUUCAGGGUGACCGACUGGCAUGCCCUUGCCACCCACCUGGCCAUGGACCCAGCCCUGACUAUUGCCUUCUGUCCUCACCGCCUGGAGGUGGUGCCUCUCCUCCUUCACCUGCUGGUUGGGUUAUUUCCCCCCCAGGUAAACUCCAGGGGGAGCUGCCAGUCACAGGGGUCGCCACCUGCCCAGAAGUGCCCCAGCUUUGGACAGUGGAUGGGUGGAUGCCCACCACACCGGGGCCUCGGAGGCUCCUCCUCUGGGCUCCUGCUGUCUUGUCUGAAGCUCGGGUCCCCACAGGCUCAGCGGAGAUGCCAGACUGGCUUCCCCAGCCCUGCCCCCUGGCCCCACUCUCCGGCUUUCUCUGUGACCUGCCACCCUCCUGCUCUCCAGUGUCCAGGGUGUUGCUAUGGCUCCCACCAAGGACGUCCUUUCUCCCACAUCUUCCUGCAGAGGGGCAAACACCACCUUUUCCAUGAACUGGCUGGCUGUUUGUGUCUUCUCUUUCUCCCUGCCCAAGGCUGAAUGGUACCGUGUCCACCUGGGCCUUGGAUGUUGGUGACAGUGAUGCAACAGAGGCGGACUCUCACCUCCUCCUGGCCAUGGGCCCGGCACUCUUGGGGGGACAAAGCCAAAUUCCCCACGCUCAGCAUCCAGGAUGGGACCAGACACAGGUCACACAGGUCAGACCUGCCCAGAGGACACUCCUGGGGAACAGCACAGGAGUGUGUGUGGGGACGAGGGGGCUCGGGCCACAAAAAGCUGUGUGUUUCCUGUGACAUGUUUCCUGACAGCUUUGAUCUUGCAGAGAAAGACAUCUCACAUCAGCCGCCUGGUCACACGCACAGUCACACAUACAGUCAUGUACGCUCAGAAACCAAAGUGGCUGCAAACCGGUUCCCUCGGUGAAAUAUACACAGAUAUUUUUAUUGUAUUUGCUUCUUCAAAAUGCUUGACUUGCUCAGAUAAAUUGAUUUCAGGACUCACCGCUGGGCCUGCUUUGCAGUUUGAGAAAUCUCACUCUCAUCGAGGAUUUUGUUUUCUGCUCUAUGUUCUGUAUUUAAAAUUUAAUAAUGAUGAUGGAUUUA
This is a long non-coding RNA of Cavia porcellus (domestic guinea pig), 3708 nucleotides long. RefSeq lists it as uncharacterized. The record is from RefSeq and is a predicted model, not a curated record. The transcript has 3 exons. NCBI's taxonomy places the organism in Eukaryota, Metazoa, Chordata, Mammalia, Rodentia, Caviidae.